This 208-nucleotide ribosomal RNA is filed under the name uncultured bacterium. RNAcentral describes it as "partial 16S ribosomal RNA". It matches the Rfam family "Bacterial small subunit ribosomal RNA", at positions 568 to 774 of the family's 1533-position model. The record is from RNAcentral.
CGCGCAGGCGGGUGCGGAAGUCGGGGGUGAAAGGCCGGGGCUCAACCCCGGAGGGUUCUCUCGAUACUCCGUGCCUUGGGACCGGUAGAGGCCAGUGGAAUUCCCGGAGUAGCGGUGGAAUGCGUAGAGAUCGGGAAGAACACCGGAGGCGAAGGCGACUGGCUGGGCCGGAUCCGACGCUCAGGCGCGAAAGCGUGGGGAGCAAACA